Zea mays is the source of this 457-nucleotide long non-coding RNA. RefSeq lists it as uncharacterized. The transcript is spliced from 4 exons. NCBI's taxonomy places the organism in Eukaryota, Viridiplantae, Streptophyta, Magnoliopsida, Poales, Poaceae. The record is from RefSeq and is a predicted model, not a curated record.
CUCCCUCGACUCCUUGCGGAACAGGCCGCUCUUAGGAGCUUUGCAUCCGCACUCUCGUCAUGGACCGGAUGCUCGAAUGCCAUGGACAGAGUGCAGGACAACCGUCGGUGCGGCUCGCAUCCCACGCCAGCAGAGAAAAAAGGGGAUAUUGUUGGAACUCCAUUACUCGGGAGAAACCAAAAAAGCAAAAAAAAGCAUGGCUCUUUGUCUCAUAUGUUGCGACAGUCGUGAUGGCUACUGCGCAAGUCACCAAACAUGAUGGCACGGUUUUUCGUUGUACCGCAUGGCAGACAUGAAGUGAAUUUGGAGUUGAAGAAGGAAGUUGAUGUAUGGGGUAUGAUGUUGUUUGUGUGAAGUUUCCGAUAGUGACUAUAUUGGUAGUUUCUUGUUUUUUUUGCUUUCUAUAUAUGACAUCUUUGCCAUUUUAAAUUUCUAUGGAUGACUGGUAAAAUUUCAU